Long non-coding RNA from Hypanus sabinus (Atlantic stingray), 6138 nucleotides. RefSeq lists it as uncharacterized. The transcript has 3 exons. Lineage: Eukaryota; Metazoa; Chordata; Chondrichthyes; Myliobatiformes; Dasyatidae. The record is from RefSeq and is a predicted model, not a curated record.
CACUGAUAGUUCUGGUCACGUACCGUUCUGCUUGGAAAGCGCUGCAUGGAAGUUCAUUAAAAUACCUUUGAAUUCUAAUCCUCCCCCUCCUUUUACCAGUAAAAAGGCUUAGAUUAAAGAUUCUUCAGUAGUACUCAAUUUAGGUGAAAGUUGCUCUAAUUUCUUACUAGGGAUUUGAAAUUACGAAGCAAGCCAGUAGGAGAUUAUUCAGCAUUGCAGAAGGCCUGACAGAGACCUGCGGUAUCUGACCACAGUGGAUCAAGAGCGGAGGGAGUGAGCGUUCAUUCACAGCCACGCCAGUCGCAGAGUUGAUUGUAUAUCAUCAGCAUGCCUUGGGCACCAGAGUACACAGCAGAUACAGAAGAAGGCAGAGUCAUUGGACAUCCACCACGCCACACAUCGUAAGAUGCCACAAUGAGAAAAAACACCAUAUCUCAUCAUAGGAUUGGACAAGGAGCCAGAAUUCAAGGGUAAUUCUAGAGAACUUUGUGCUACAGUAAACACACUGAUUGGACAGUUAUUUUAAUGUUAAUUCUCCCUUCUUUUCAUUAUUAUAGAGAUGUAGUUAAUACAAGUAAUGUCUGUUGGUACCACUUUAAGAAUGUAGACAGGUUUUCUCUAUGGCAUUGACAUGAUUACUCAGUGGAUAGCUUGCCAGGAAGUCUAUCUGUCUGCUUGUGCAAAAGCUGUUUGUCUCUUUAGAUUCAACUUUAACAUGGAUUACUGCUUUGCAAGAUGUAACUCCUUGUUGGUUUAAAUUACCACAGUCAUCAAGUAUCUUAGAGAGAGCUACUGAGACAAGAAUCACAUGCAGAAAUCGCUCAGCACCAUCCCUCACCUUCAGAGAAAAAUAUUUAACAUUCCUCUUGGCCAACAAAGGAGAAAAAUGCCACCUCAUCUACUUUACACAAUUUUCAUUAACUUACUUCUAUUCAUUAUUAAUCAUCUAUCCACUUCUGACAAUUGUCUUUCCCUUACUUUCUCCUGUUUUUUUUGUAACCCUAGCAAAGGAGUUGGUAGAAUUUGGUAGGGUGGGCAAUAUAUUUGGUGUGAUGGAAAAUAUACUCCUAGGAUUUCUGUUACGUCUCAAAUCAACGAAAAAUUAUCACAUGCUUAUUCUGCUUCCUUUUUACUACCUCAAUGUACAGUUCUUAUGUACGGCAAGGUCUACAUGGAUAACUAGUACACCAAAGUGUUUCCACAGUAUCUUGGUGCACAUGAUGGUAAUAAACCAAUGUUAUCAAUACCCCCCACCAUGUCACAGUAAUCCUAGGGGGGAGAAAUGAUAUUUAGCUUGGGGCUAGUUGUGAGCACAAAUGUAGUUUUCACUGAGAAGAAGACUAAUUCCCCAGGAAUCUUAGUACUGUCAGUGAUUCUUCAAUCAGUUCUUUUAAUCUUCACAGCGCAUCAUCAGUAAAGACACAGCAAAAACGUGGCAGAUGUUGGGAAAUGUAUGAUAAUGCAUUUUGAUAAAAGGAACAACAGUGCAGACUGUUAUCUAAAUGGAGAAAAGGUUCAAACAUCAGAGGUACAAAGAGAAUUAGGAGUCAUCAUGUAAGAUUUCGAGAAGGUUAACUCACAGUUUGAGCUUGUGGUAAAAUAGGCUUAAGUCAGCAUGGUUUUCAAGGGGAAAUCUUACUUGAGUAAUCUGUUAAAAUUAUAUGAGGAAAUAGCAGACAAAAUAGACAAGAGAGAGUCAAUGGACGUCAUUUACUUGGAUUUUCACAAUGCCUUUGACAAGGUGCCACAUGUAAGACUGCUUAACAAGAUAAGAGUCAAUGGUAUCAUAGGAAGGAUACGGGCAUGGAUAGAAGACUGGAAGGAGGCAAAGGGUAAAAAAAAUUGCCUAUUCUGGGUGGUUGUUAGUGAUAAGUGGUGUUCUGGGAGGAUCAGUACUGGGAUCCCUUCUUUUCAUGUUAUAUACCAACAACUUGUAAGAUGGAAUUGAUGGCAUUGUGGCUAAAUUUGCAGAUGAUACAAAGAUAGAUAGAGAGGCAGAUAGUGUUGAGGAGGCAGAGAAUCUUCAGAAGGACUUGGACAGAUUGGGAGAAUGGGCAAAGAAUUGGCAGAUGGAAUAUAGUGUAGGGAACUGUAUUACCAUGCACUUUGGUAGAAGAAAUAAAAGCAUAGAACAUUCUCCAAAUGGGGAGAAAAUUCAAAAAUCAGAGGUACAAAGGGACUUGGGAGUACUUGUGCAGGAUUUCCUAAGGGUUAACUUGCAGAUUGAGUCGGUGGUAAGGAAGGCAAAAUCAAUGUUAGCAUUCAUUUCGAGAGGACUAGAAUAAAAGAGGAAGAAUGUGAUGUUGAAGCUUUAAAAGGCAUUGUUUGAACUUGAUAUGGAUUAUUGUGAGCAGCUUUGGGAUGCUUAUUUAAGAAAAGACAUGCUGGCAUUUGAGGUCCAGAGGAAGUUCACAAGAAUAAUUCCAGGAAUGAAAGAGUUAAUAUAUGAGAAGCACUUGUUGGCUCUGGGCCUGUACUCACCAGAGUUUAGAAGUUUGGGGGGGGGGUGGAUUUCAUUGAAACCUAUUGAAUAUUGAAAAGACUGGACAGAGUAGAAGUGGAGGGGAUGUUUCCAAUUGUGAGUAAGUCUAGGACCAGAGGGCACAGCUGCAGAGUAGAAGGACAUCCAUUUAGAACAGAGAUGAGAAGGAACUUCUUUAGUUGGAGUGUGGCGAUUCUGUGGAAUUCAUUGCCAUGGACGGUUGUGGAGGCCGAGUCAUUGAGUACAUUUAAAGCAGAGGUUGAUAGGUUCUUGGUUAGUCAGGGUGUCAAAGAUUAUGGGAAGAAGGCAGGAGAAUGGCGCUGAUGGAAUGGCGGAGCAGACUUAAUUGGUCAAGUGACCAAAUUCUGUGCCUAUGUCUUAUGGUCUUAAAAAUAACGUUCAGAACUCCUGACUGUUGUGUAUUGAAACUAAAGAUCCCAGGAAUGUUCAGAAGAUAAAACAAGAUAUGUGUAAAGAGAAAUUCUUAACAUUGCUGACAAAGAAUUUUACUGGAGAAACCACUGGGGGAAAAUGUGACAGAUCGAAGCCUUGACAAUGUGUGGUAAAGAACUGCUUCAAGGUUGUAAUUCUUGGAAGAGAAGCAAUGGUAUAGUCUACAAUAAAUUAAUUUAGCCUACAAUCAAUGAACAUCAAAAAAUGCUGCAGACUGUAAAUCUGAAAUAAAAACUGAAAAUGUUGGAAACACUCAGGAGAUCAGGCAGCAUCUGCAGAAGGAGAAACAAUUAACAUUUCAGAUCCAGGAUCCUGAUUGUUGAAAAACAUAUCCAGCUGUAGUAGUCUUCCCGAGAAGAAAAUCUGCCAUCUUCACCUUAUCUGUCCUAUGUGUGACUCCAAAUCCAUCAAUGUGAUUGCUGAUUGUCUCAUUUUCAAUUAAAGAUGGUCAAUAAAUGAUACCCAUAUCCCCUAAAUAAAUAAGAGUACUGUAUUUCUGAAACAAUUGUGAUACUGUAGUUCAUAAAAAUGAAGUCAUUUUAAAUUUUGAAUACAUGAGGGGAAGCCACUUAUACCAGCUGCCAAUUUUCAUUUCCAAUAACUUCAAUAGCUUGAUCUGAUAUUUUAGAUAUAAAACAUGUUUGAGAUUCUGUUGGCAUCAACAUAAGAAAAAAAAUAAUGUAUGAAAAAGAUAGAUGAAUUGGCAAUGUUUUUCACAAACUAAGACUGGAUUUUAUUUAUUGAACCGUUGAAGGAGUUUGUCUAAAGUAGUGGUUCCAAACAUUUUUAAAUGCCAUGGACUAAUAUCAUUAAGCAAGGUGUUUGUGGACUCAAGGUUGGGAGCCCCUGAUUUAAAGGAUCAUGGCUGAAUAAAAAGACAUGAUAUAUUCUAUCUCCUCAAUCAGCUCUCAUAUUACAAGGAAAAACAGUAAUUAUCAAUGACUGGAGAGUGUAAUUAUGAUGAAGAAAUGAUUGCUGAUGAGUUACAGACUGUAGCCUCUGGUUCUUUGCAUGUCUCUAAUAAUAAAAUGUUCUCUACUGUACAUUUUGCUAAUAUCCAAGUCAGUUGAAACACAAAAGCAUUUAACCUAGAAGUAUUUGCAUGCGACUUAAUCUCGUUAGAACUUUUGGUGUUUUCAUUCCAACUACAUGAAUAGAGUUUUAAUGAUCUUAAUGCCUUUUUGAGCAUUGUGCUUAGCACAAUGAGAGAUGAUAUUCAAUGGGAAGCAUUUCAUAGCAUUUAUUUAACACUGCCUUUAGAGAGUCUGGUUUAACAGUACUAUCUGGUUAAAGUCUUGCUGCAAGAUGGGAAUAAUUAAAACUUGUUGAAUGUAGUCCAUGACACUAAGAGACUUAUUAGGAGCACGGCAGAUCUUCUCGCCCGUGCGGAGGAAAUUUUUCCACUUACCUAAAGAGGUCUUUGACCUCUCAUUAGCUGCUGAACUGAUUUAUUCUGGCAAGUGCCAGUUUCUUUGCUCUGACAUCACUUCCAAUGCAGUUUGGAUUUUAUUAACAUUAUGGGGCUAUAUUAACACACAGGACUCUCAUGUGAGUCAGGAGGACAAAUAACUAUAGCCAAAAAUGGUGGUACUGAAAUCAAACUAUGGGGGCAGCCAAGCAGGAAAUGGAGGGUGACUUCAAGGCCAGUUAAAGCAAAGUAAUCAACCCACUCUUCUUUCUAAGAUGUGGUACAUUGCAAUUUACAUUUUAAACUUUAUUCAUGACUGAUCAGCAAUUUUGUCAAUCUCUCCUUGUACUUUUGCAGUCGCCUCCUCUAUUCCCACUGCCUUCCUUGCACAUCACCCCACCCCCCACCCCCCAAAUGUGUGGCAUGCAAAAUUAAUUACUUUACAAAUCAUUUCGAUACACCAUUAAUAGGAGAGAAUCAAGCAUCAGCCCUUGGGACUUCUCUACUUCUUUUCCAUUACCCAGUUAUGAAUUCAUGCUUGUGUCCUACCCUUGAAACCGCCUGAGCUUAGUCUCCCAUGCAGUAAUUUAUCAAAGACCUUUCAGAAGUUAAGGCAUAGAAUAUGAAAUAUCUUCUCCCUGUCAGAAAGGCUUGAUAUAUACUUCGGAAAAAACUCUUCCAUUGAUGACACAAAAUCUAUGCCUUCUAAACCAUGUUAACUGGCACAUUAAGAUACUUUUGCAAAGCACUUUUGUACUGGCUAUCAGUAUUUUCAUUCAGGUUCAAUCUUAAGUGAAACUUAUGGAUCUUUAGAUUGUGUACUUGGACAGAAAUAUGGCUAACAAAAUUCAAAACGGACAUAUUUAAAUAUUAGGCAAACUAAAAAGAAGGAACAAUAUAAAUAUGAAAUAAAUGGAUUUAAACUUUUGGAAAUACGCCUGGAAAUCCACUCAUGUAUCUGCUUGGUGUUAAGGUAACACAAUCUUCUCUGAACUCAGAAGGUAAUGGAGAGGACGGAAUGAGAACAGUGUUUAGCAUAAUGCUUUACAGUGCAGUGAUGUGGGUUCAAUCCCUGCCAGUGUUUGUAAAGAUUUUGUAUCUUCUCUGUAUGACUAUAUGGGUUUCCCCUGGGUCCUCGGGUUUCCUCCCACAAUUCUAAGGCUAUGUUGGGCCAGAAGCGUGGCAGUUCUCCAACUGUGGUGGUUGUUGAUGCAAAUGAUGCAUUUCAAUGCUUCAUUGUACAUCUGACAAAGAAAUCUAAUCAUUAUUAAAACUUCACUUCAUGAUUGUGUGGGACAUUUCAGAACAUUAUCCAAUGUCUGCAGUAUUGCUGAGAUUCUAUUUUUUGGAACAUAAGAUCAGGAUUUCGUCUGCUCAUUGAGGAUGUCAUAAAAUAUCACCAUCCUCCAAAAUUCUCCAAUAAAAAUAUAGUUGUUACCAAUUUAAUCCUCGAGGUAUUUCUGUCUCACAGCCUGUUUGCCUCAUUCAUCUUACUAAGUGAAAAUUGACCGUCAUGUUUGUCAACAGGUCAGCUGUAAUAACAUGAGCAAUUAAUUUUCAAGGCAACACUUUGAAAGCCCAUUAGUGCAAAAAGUUGCAGAAAAUAAAUGUUUCUAAUGACAUUGCUUCACACUUCGCUUCAACUUUUGAGACUUUUGGAAUCCAUAUUCUUCCUCCCCUACUUCAUUCCUGUGGUAUCAUUUUCUCAUUAUUAAGUGCUGAUCCCUUUGCACUAGAAAAGUACCACAUGGUGAAGAUAACUUGAAAUAGAGAGCUCUUUACCCUCGGUCUGAAA